CUACUUACGGGUUAAAAGUUGUGGUUUUGUGGGAGCACGAAUGGACAGCCCUCAAAAAGGCAGAUCCUAGUGUUAAGGCCUUCCUUACCCAUUAUGACCCUCCAGAGCCCCUGGAACCGCGACAGGCCUUGUUUGGAGGCCGGACCAAUGCUUUGACAUUGCGUUAUGUAGCUCAACCCGACGAGACAAUAGGCUAUGUAGAUUUUACAUCCCUAUAUCCUCAUGUAAUGAGUUCCUCAUUCUAUCCUAUAGGGCAUCCUGAAAUUAUUCACAGCGACUUUGACGAACCCCAAAAUUAUUUUGGUUUAAUCAAAGCGACUGUCUACCCUCCUAGGGGGCUGUUUAUACCUGUGUUGCCUUACAAGGGUCCUAAAGGAAAACUUUUCUUUCCCCUUUGUCGCACAUGCUGUGAAAACCACAACCAGGAAAACCCCUGUGAUCACACAGAUCAAGAAAGAGCCCUGACCGGUGUAUGGGUCACUGUAGAAUUCUCUAAGGCUUUAGAGAAGGGGUAUCGUGUGGCCAAAAUCUUUGAAGUGUGGAACUUUUCCAGGAAAUCAGACACACUUUUUAAAGAGUACAUCAAAACCUUCUUGAGAUGCAAGCAGAUGGCUUCAGGCUAUCCUGCAUCGGUCACAGAUCAAGAAAGUAAAGACCAGUACAUUCAAGACUACCAUGACAGAGAAGGCAUACUUCUUGACCCUGACAGAAUAGAGGUCAACAAAACCAAAAGAAAUGUGUCGAAAUUGUACUUGAACUCCCUUUGGGGGAAAUUAGCGCAGAGAUGCAAUAUGCUAACAACUUCGAUCAUUAAAGACCCCGAAGAAUUUUUGGAAUUUGUUUUUUCGGACCAAUACGAAAUUUCACAUUUUUCCUUCUUGAGUCAAGACAUUGCCUUGGUGCAAUGGAGGCGCCACCAAAAGUGGGUUCUACCCCCGGGUAAUGUAAAUGUGUUUCUUGCAGCAUUUACCACAGCCUAUGGCCGCCUUGAACUGUACACCCUCAUGGAACAGCUUCAGAGGCGGGUUCUUUACCACGACACAGACUCUGUGGUCUAUGUAAGCAAACCGGGGGAUUGGACCCCCCCACUUAGCAACUAUCUUGGGGGUUUAACGAGUGAACUCGAAGAGGGUGACCAUAUUACAGAAUGGUCCUCAUGUGGUCCAAAAAGCUAUGCUUUUAGGACUAAAGCCAAUCACGUGGUGUUGAAAGCCAAAGGCGUGACUCAAAACUAUGAAAAUGCACCGCGUGUAAACUUGGAAUCAAUCACGCGCUUGGUCGAGGGGUUCGUAAAGGACAAGAAUAGUGACUUGGAGAUUUUGAGCUCCUACAACAAAAUAGUGAGGGAUAAAAAGGGGUUCCAUCUAAGAAACGCACCACUCACUAAAAGAUUCAGGGUAGUCUAUGACAAGAGACAGCUAUUGCCUGACGGUACCACAUUGCCCUUUGGCUACUGACUUAUGCUACAAGCCCCAGUGUGUCUUAAAGCUUAAGAUAUUAUGACUGCUGUCGAGGGUUUUGACCCCCGGCUACAAUUGCCUUUUUCAGCAUUAAUUGCAGGCCCUUCAAAC
RNAcentral lists this long non-coding RNA (1571 nucleotides) under Oncorhynchus kisutch (coho salmon). RNAcentral's name for it is "lncRNA (ENSOKIG00005001389.1)". Lineage: Eukaryota; Metazoa; Chordata; Actinopteri; Salmoniformes; Salmonidae. The record is from RNAcentral.